AUGGCGGUGGUCCUCGCGUGGCUCAACGCCAGGGUCGUCGACCCCCUGCUGCAGGUCAUCCAGAGGGGCGCGGAGCCGAAGCAGCUGGCCUUCUCCGCCGCGCUCGGCGUCACCAUCGGGGUCUUCCCCAUCUGCGGGACCACGGUUAUUAUCGGUGGACUUGCUGUGGCGAUGUUAGGAGCUCGUUGCAAUGCCGUUACUGUCAUGGUUCUCAAUUUAGCUGCUACUCCUCUUGAGCUAAGCUUGAUCAUUCCUUUCUUGCGUUUGGGAGAAGUAGUCACAGGCGGUGAGCACUUCCCCUUGACAUCUGAUGCAUUCAAGAUGGUCCUCACAGGCCACGCCUCAAAGGACGUGCUACUCAGCAUUUUUCAUGCGAUUCUUGGCUGGAUGGUUGCUGCACCGUUUGUGAUGGCUGGGCUGUACACCUUGUCUGUCCCUUGUUUCAAGUACCUGGUCGGCAGGUUUGGCGUCAUCCCUUCGAGCCCCAGGACGCCGAUGAAAGCGGUUUUGCUUUGCCCAAAUGAAUCCGAAUCCGAAUCCGAAAAUGGGGCAGUACCAUUGCUCGUCCACGCCGACUGA
RNAcentral lists this ribosomal RNA (579 nucleotides) under Triticum aestivum (bread wheat). RNAcentral's name for it is "partial small subunit ribosomal RNA". Lineage: Eukaryota; Viridiplantae; Streptophyta; Magnoliopsida; Poales; Poaceae. The record is from RNAcentral.